GCUUGACAUGUGCCGGACGGCCGCGGAGACGCGGUUUCCCUUCGGGGCCGGUUCACAGGUGGUGCAUGGUCGUCGUCAGCUCGUGUCGUGAGAUGUUGGGUCAAGUCCCGCAACGAGCGCAACCCUCGCCUCGUGUUGCCAGCACGUUAUGGUGGGAACUCACGGGGGACCGCCGGGGUUAACCCGGAGGAAGGUGGGGA
RNAcentral lists this ribosomal RNA (200 nucleotides) under Bifidobacterium sp. wkB344. RNAcentral describes it as "partial 16S ribosomal RNA". It matches the Rfam family "Bacterial small subunit ribosomal RNA", at positions 979 to 1179 of the family's 1533-position model. Lineage: Bacteria; Bacillati; Actinomycetota; Actinomycetes; Bifidobacteriales; Bifidobacteriaceae. The record is from RNAcentral.